RNAcentral lists this ribosomal RNA (550 nucleotides) under uncultured Glomeromycotina. RNAcentral's name for it is "SSU rRNA". It matches the Rfam family "Eukaryotic small subunit ribosomal RNA", at positions 548 to 1098 of the family's 1831-position model. The record is from RNAcentral. Lineage: Eukaryota; Fungi; Glomeromycota.
UUGGAGGGCAAGUCUGGUGCCAGCAGCCGCGGUAAUUCCAGCUCCAAUAGCGUAUAUUAAAGUUGUUGCAGUUAAAAAGCUCGUAGUUGAACUUCGGGGUCUACCCAUUGGUCAGGCUUAAUUGUCUGCACUGGUGAGAUGGAUCUCUACCUUCUGAGGAACUUUUAUGCCAUUUAUUUGGUGUGAUGGGAAAUCAGGACUGUUACUUUGAAAAAAUUAGAGUGUUUAAAGCAGACUAUCGUCUGAAUACAUUAGCAUGGAAUAAUGAAAUAGGACGGACUGAUUCUAUUUCGUUGGUUUCUAGGAUCACCGUAAUGAUUAAUAGGGAUAGUUGGGGGCAUUAGUAUUCAAUUGUCAGAGGUGAAAUUCUUGGAUUUAUUGAAGACUAACUACUGCGAAAGCAUUUGCCAAGGAUGUUUUCAUUAAUCAAGAACGAAAGUUAGGGGAUCGAAGACGAUCAGAUACCGUCGUAGUCUUAACCAUAAACUAUGCCGACUAGGGAUCGGACGAAGUUAAUUUUAUAAUGACGCGUUCGGCGCCUUACGAAAAC